UUGAGGGCAAGUCUGGUGCCAGCAGCCGCGGUAAUUCCAGCUCCAAUAGCGUAUAUUAAAGUUGUUGCAGUUAAAAGCUCGUAGUUGAAUUUCGGGAUUGACACAUCGGUCGUGCCCUAAGGGGUAUGAACUGGUGUAGUCAGUUUCUCACCUUCUGGAGAACCGCGAUGUCCUUAAUUGGGUGCCGCGGGGAACCAGGACCUUUACUUUGAAAAAAUUAGAGUGUUUAAAGCAGGCAUUUUGCUUGAAUACAUUAGCAUGGAAUAAUAAAAUAGGACGGAUGGUUCUAUUUUGUUGGUUUCUAGGAUCACCGUAAUGAUUAAUAGGGAUAUUGGGGGCAUUAGUAUUCAAUUGUCAGAGGUGAAAUUCUUGGAUUUAUUGAAGACUAACUACUGCGAAAGCAUUUGCCAAGGAUGUUUUCAUUAAUCAAGAACGAAAGUUAGGGGAUCGAAGACGAUCAGAUACCGUCGUAGUCUUAACCAUAAACUAUGCCGACUAGGAAUCAGACGAUGUUAAUUUUUAAUGACUCGUUCGGCGCCUUACGGAAAC
Molecule: ribosomal RNA, 549 nt
Filed under: uncultured Entrophospora
Lineage: Eukaryota; Fungi; Glomeromycota; Glomeromycetes; Entrophosporales; Entrophosporaceae
Description: SSU rRNA
Rfam family: Eukaryotic small subunit ribosomal RNA
Source: RNAcentral